RNA transcript from Phragmites australis (common reed), 2543 nucleotides. RefSeq lists it as uncharacterized. The record is from RefSeq and is a predicted model, not a curated record. The transcript has 9 exons. Lineage: Eukaryota; Viridiplantae; Streptophyta; Magnoliopsida; Poales; Poaceae.
UAAACGAAAGCGGCCCCCUAUUUCCCUGUCGGAUUUGGAUACCGGCCAGCCGAGAAAAGGAAAGGGGAAGGAAGGCGCGGCAGGCUAGGGUUUCUCGACGGCCCCACCGCCCUCUCCGCCAUGGACGCGCAGCGAGCUCUCCUCGACGAGCUCAUGGGCACAGCUCGCAACCUGACGGAGGAGGAGAAGAAGGGGCACAAGGAGCUGAAGUGGGACGAUCCGGACGUGUGCGGCCCCUUCAUGGUUCGCUUCUGCCCCCACGACCUCUUCAUCAACACCAAGAGCAACCUCGGGCCGUGCUCGAGGAUCCAUGACCCGAAGCUCAAGGAGAGCUUCGAGAAGUCUCCCAGGCAUGAUAGUUAUAUGCGAAGGUUUGAGGCAGAGCUUGCACAACAAUGCGAGAAAUUGGUUAUGGAUUUGGAUAGAAAAAUAAGGCGCGGUCGAGAAAGGUUGGCUCAUGAUACUGCUGUGCCACUACCAAUCCCUAGCAAAAUAACUGAGCAGCUCUCAGUGCGAGAAGAACAGAUAAAAAAGCUGUUGGAGCAAAUCGAGGAGCUUGGUGAGGCUGGUAAAGUGGAUGAAGCUGAGGCCCUUAUGCGGAAGGUUGACCUUCUAAAUGCUGAGAAGACAGUUUUAGCUAACCAAGCAGACAACAAAGCGGCCAUGCUUGAGAAGAAGAUGGAACUUUGUGAAACGUGUGGAUCAUUCUUAGUUUCCGAUGAUGCUCUUGAGAGAACACAAUCCCACGUGACUGGGAAACAGCACAUUGGUUAUGGUAUGGUUAGAGAUUUCCUGACGGAAUAUAAGGCUGCAAAAGAAAAGGCAAAAGAGGAAGAGAGGCUUGCAAGGGAGAAGAAAGAAGAGGAACGUAGGAAACAGAGGGAAAAAGAGUACCAUAGUGGGGGCAGGGAUAGUGAUACCAGAAGAGAGAAGUCAGGGGAGUGUGACUAUGACCGUGAUCGUCACUAUGAUCGAAGCCGCGGAAGAGAAAGGUCAUAUGAUCACAGAGAUAGGAGCAGUUCAUACAGAAAUGGGAGGGAUUCUGAAAGAGGCGGAUACAGAUAUAGGAGUGGUGAUAUGACAAACGACAGAGGGAGAAUGAGGAGCAGAUCACGUUCUCCAAUCAGGCAUGGCUACGGAAGAUCUAGAAGUCCAGAUCAUUAGCUGAACAUUUAGAUAGUUUUAUUACCAGUUGUGACUCAUAAGCUCUGUUUGGAACCCUACAGUCUUCCUUUUACAUGGGUAAAAAAAAAUCUCAGGUAGGUAUUGUCCUUCCCACAUUUUUUGAGUUAUUGAUAUUCUAUAUGUAUGCUCAAGCUUUGUUUCAACAUUUGGAAUUGGAAGUUAUUGUCUAAAAGCUGAAAGUUAGUACAAUAAGACCAGUAUUGGACAUCAUGUCUGGAUGAAGAUGUUUACAGCCUAUGACAGGUAAAAUUUGGUAAUUAAUUUUCAUGUUACGCAAGUUGCUAUUUUUUUCUUCUUAAAACUUCGUGAGAAACCAUUUUGAUUCUGCUUCAUUGCGAUUGGCCUCUCUUUGCUUCGAUUUUACCCUUACAUCCAAGCUCAGCUCGGCCAUGGAUCCGUCAAUUUCUGGCAAAAUUUAUGCAUAAUGGUGUUUUUUUGUAGUUGUAAAUAUUACGAAGUAAUGCUGCCUUUGGAAAGAACAAUCGGAAGGAAAAAAAAAAAAAGAAACGAUCCAGGAUCUAUGCUAAUCACCCACAGAUUCUUAUUCUGGAAUCCAAGUAGUUACAACUCUACUGGAGGCCUGGUUUUAGCUGUCCAUAACCAUACCCUGCUAAAAACCACAAGGACUAUCCCUAGUUCUUGACGGGUCGCUGGACCCUGCCUUUUCCUAUCUUUUUUCUUUUCUUUUUACGUUGUGCCUUGAUUACUGGCUCCUGUACGUCUAGUUAACAUACAGUUGUUUGUGCUGCAAAAUAUUAGCUAGCCUGGUGGUCAGUAAUUAGUGUGAUAUUGGAGCAAUUGCAAUGUAUUUUAAAUAUGUAACCACUCAGAUGAGCUGUUAACUUUGUGUUUUUAGUGUUUACUUUCAAUCAUAACAUUUGAGCUGUAGGUUAACAUUGCUGGUUUGUGGAUAGCAAUUGCAUGGAUCAUACAGCCUCAGCGAGAAAUGGUAAUCACUCUCUUUGGAAUCUGGAGGCAAAAUUGUUUGACAAGUCCCAGGUUCAGUCUGAAGCAGCAUCCGAACGCCGGAUGACGUUGUGACGUUGCAAUCUUCACCUCUUGAUACAAGAUGGGAACGAAACAUAAGAGUCGGGGCGGAUGGGAAGCCACCGGUGGCGGAAGGGGUGGCAGCGGUUCCUGGCCGCGGUCUGUGACUGAGAGGAGGUUGCCGGGCGCCGGAGAGAAAGAAGCCAGUGGCCGGGCAGGGCUUGGGGCAGAGAGGAAGAAGCCGGGGGAGAAGGAAGAAGAGGGCGAUGUCAAUGACUAUGGCCUCCCGGCACGCAGGCUAGCAAGCACUGUGUUCUAAUCAUUAGACGGUUUUAGAUCAUCAGAGAUAUAACAGACUCGAUCUCCUCGUA